RNAcentral lists this ribosomal RNA (253 nucleotides) under uncultured bacterium. RNAcentral's name for it is "partial 16S ribosomal RNA". It matches the Rfam family "Bacterial small subunit ribosomal RNA", at positions 524 to 776 of the family's 1533-position model. The record is from RNAcentral.
UACGAAGGGUGCAAACGUUGCUCGGAAUCAUUGGGCGUAAAGCGCACGUAGGCGGCGAUCUAAGUCGGAUGUGAAAUCCCUCGGCUCAACCGAGGACGUGCAUCCGAAACUGGAUUGCUCGAGUAUGGAAGAGGGUCGCGGAAUUCUCGGUGUAGAGGCGAAAUUCGUAGAUAUCGGGAGGAACACCAGUGGCGAAGGCGGCGACCUGGGCCAAUACUGACGCUGAGGUGCGAAAGCGUGGGGAGCAAACAGG